This 793-nucleotide long non-coding RNA is filed under the name Musa acuminata (dwarf banana). RNAcentral's name for it is "long non-coding RNA (MACU_LNC004722)". The record is from RNAcentral. Lineage: Eukaryota; Viridiplantae; Streptophyta; Magnoliopsida; Zingiberales; Musaceae.
GUGGUGCUGGUGAUGGAGAACCGGUCGUUUGACCACAUGCUGGGGUGGCUCCGGAGCAAGGGCGGCCGCACGGACAUCGACGGCCUCACCGGUCGCGAGUCCAACCACGUCAAGGCGUCUGACCCCUCCUCCCCUGAGGUCUUUGUCUCCGACGGCGCCGCCUACGUCGACUACGACCCCGGCCACUCCUUCCAGGCUAUCCGCGAGCAGAUAUUCGGCUCCGAUGACUCCUCUGCGGUUCCCGCCCCCAUGAGCGGCUUUGCCCAGCAGGCCGAGAGCAUGGGUGAGGGCGUGGCCGGCACCGUCAUGCGGGGUUUCGCCCCCGAGGCUGUCCCCGUCUACUCCGCUCUCGCGGAGGAGUUCGCGGUGUGCGAUAGGUGGUUCGCCUCCGUCCCGGCCUCCACCCAGCCCAAUCGCUUCUACGUCCACUCCGCCACCUCCCACGGCGCCACCAGCAACGUGCGCAGGGACCUCAUCCACGGCUUCCCCCAGAAGACCAUAUUCGAUUCCCUCGAUGAGGAUGGUCUCAGUUUCGGCGUCUACUACCAGAACAUCCCCGCCGUGCUCUUCUUCAAGAGCCUGCGUAAGCUGAAGCACCUCGUCAAGUUCCACAGCUACAAGCUCGCCUUCAAGCUGCACGCCAAGCAGGGCCGGCUGCCUAACUACGUGGUCAUCGAACAACACUACUUCGACGUGAAGCUCUCCCCGGCCAACGACGAUCACCCAUCCCACGACGUCGCCAGGGGUCAGAGGCUCGUGAAGGAGAUCUACGAGACGCUCCGGGCGAGCCCGC